AACGAACGCUGGCGGCGCGUUUUAAGCAUGCAAGUCGGACGGCAGCGUGUAGCAAUACGCGUGAGAGUGGCGAACGGGUGAGUAACACGUAGGUGACCUAACUUAGGUGAUGGGGAUAGCCUGUGGAAACACAGGGUAAUACCGAAUACAUCUUUACGGGUAAAGCCGUGAAGGGAAAGGCGCUUUAGGCGCUGCACGUAAGGGGGGCCUGCGGACCAUUAGGUUAGUUGGUGGGGUAAGGGCCUACCAAGGCGACGAUGGAUAGCCGGCCUGAGAGGGUGUACGGCCACACUGGGACUGAGACACGGCCCAGACUCCUACGGGAGGCAGCAGUAGGGAAUAUUGGUUAAUGUGCGAAAGCGCGAACCAGCAACGCCGCGUGUGCGAUGAAGGCCUUCGGGUCGUAAAGCACUUUUUGCAGGGAAGAGGAAGGACGGUACCUGCAGAAUAAGUCUCGGCUAACUACGUG
Molecule: ribosomal RNA, 469 nt
Filed under: uncultured bacterium
Lineage: Bacteria
Description: bacterial SSU rRNA
Rfam family: Bacterial small subunit ribosomal RNA
Source: RNAcentral